Molecule: ribosomal RNA, 471 nt
Filed under: uncultured bacterium
Lineage: Bacteria
Description: bacterial SSU rRNA
Rfam family: Bacterial small subunit ribosomal RNA
Source: RNAcentral
UCGCCAGACUCCUACGGGAGGCAGCAGUGGGGAAUCUUCCGCAAUGGGCGAAAGCCUGACGGAGCAACGCCGCGUGAUCGAAUGAAGGCCUUCGGGUUGUAAAGAUCUGUUGACAGGGACGAAUAAGCAAUGCGAAUAGUUUUGUGUAUGACGGUACCUGUUUAGAAAGCUCCGGCUAACUACGUGCCAGCAGCCGCGGUAAUACGUAGGGAGCAAGCGUUGUCCGGAAUUACUGGGCGUAAAGGGCGCGUAGGCGGGAAAGCAAGUCAGAUGUGAAAUCCAGGGGCUCAACCUGUGGCCUGCAUUUGAAACUGUUUUUCUUGAGUACUGGAGAGGCAGACGGAAUUCCUAGUGUAGCGGUGAAAUGCGUAGAUAUUAGGAGGAACACCAGUGGCGAAGGUGGUCUGCUGGACAGCAACUGACGCUGAGGCGCGAAAGCGUGGGGAGCAAACAGGAUUAGAUACCCUCGUA